RNAcentral lists this ribosomal RNA (510 nucleotides) under uncultured bacterium. RNAcentral describes it as "partial 16S ribosomal RNA". It matches the Rfam family "Bacterial small subunit ribosomal RNA", at positions 28 to 507 of the family's 1533-position model. The record is from RNAcentral.
GACGAACGCUGGCGGCGUGCUUAACACAUGCAAGUCGAACGAAGAGCGAUGGAAGCUUGCUUCUAUCAAUCUUAGUGGCGAACGGGUGAGUAACGCGUAAUCAACCUGCCCUUCAGAGGGGGACAACAGUUGGAAACGACUGCUAAUACCGCAUACGAUCUAAUCUCGGCAUCGAGGAUAGAUGAAAGGUGGCCUCUACAUGUAAGCUAUCACUGAAGGAGGGGAUUGCGUCUGAUUAGCUAGUUGGGGGGGUAACGGCCCACCAAGGCGAUGAUCAGUAGCCGGUCUGAGAGGAUGAACGGCCACAUUGGGACUGAGACACGGCCCAGACUCCUACGGGAGGCAGCAGUGGGGAAUCUUCCGCAAUGGACGAAAGUCUGACGGAGCAACGCCGCGUGAGUGAUGACGGCCUUCGGGUUGUAAAGCUCUGUUAAUCGGGACGAAAGGCCUUCUUGCGAACAGUUAGAAGGAUUGACGGUACCGGAAUAGAAAGCCACGGCUAACUACGUG